RNAcentral lists this ribosomal RNA (1011 nucleotides) under uncultured bacterium. RNAcentral's name for it is "bacterial SSU rRNA". It matches the Rfam family "Bacterial small subunit ribosomal RNA", at positions 61 to 1054 of the family's 1533-position model. The record is from RNAcentral.
GUCACGGGGGCCCAGGGGCAACUCUGGGUAACCGGCGAACGGGUGCGUAACACGUGAGCGACCUGCCGACCACAGGGGGAUAGCCGGCCCAACGGCCGGGUAAUACCGCAUACGCUCUUUUUGCUUCAUGGCGGGAAGAGGAAAACUCCGGUGGUGGUCGAGGGGCUCGCGGCUUAUCAGCUAGUUGGUGAGGUGACGGCUCACCAAGGCGACGACGAGUAGCUGGUCUGAGAGGAUGGCCAGCCACAUUGGGACUGAGAGACGGCCCAGACUCCUACGGGAGGCAGCAGUGGGGAAUCUUGCGCAAUGGUCGAAAGACUGACGCAGCGACGCCGCGUGUAGGAGGACGCCUUUCGGGGUGUAAACUACUGUUGCCCGGGACGAACAUCCCUUUUCGAGGGGACUGACGGUACCGGGUGAGGAAGCACCGGCUAACUCCGUGCCAGCAGCCGCGGUAAUACGGAGGGUGCGAGCGUUGUCCGGAAUCACUGGGCGUAAAGGGCGCGUAGGUGGCUCGUUAAGGGGGCGGUGAAAGCCCGGGGCUCAACCCCGGGUCGGCCGUGCCGACUGGCGAGCUUGAGCGUACUAGAGGCAGGCGGAAUUCCGGGUGUAGCGGUGGAAUGCGUAGAGAUCCGGAAGAACACCGGUGGCGAAGGCGGCCUGCUGGGGUACUAGACAGACUUCGGUUUGUCGGCUGACACUGAGGCGCGACAGCGUGGGGAGCAAACAGGAUUAGAUACCCUGGUAGUCCACGCCGUAAACGAUGGGCACUAGGUGCUUGGGGGAGCGACCCUCCGAGUGCCGGCGCUAACGCAUUAAGUGCCCCGCCUGGGGAGUACGGCCGCAAGGCUGAAACUCAAAGGAAUUGACGGGGGCCCGCACAAGCGGUGGAGCAUGUGGUUUAAUUCGACGCAACGCGAAGAACCUUACCUGCGCUUGACAUGUACGGGAAUGCUUCUGGAGACAGGGGCAGCUCUUCGGAGCCCGUACACAGAUGCUGCAUGGCUGUCG